CAGGGAGACAACAAAAUGUUAAAUAUUAAUUUUGUCACCUUAGGUCGAUCGGUAUCUCACAUUCUUAAUUUAUUAAGGAUUUUAUUUCCUAAGUUUUUUCUAGGUCACACCCACUACUUUUCCUGGGCCAUUAGCUCAGGUGGUUAGAGCGCACCCCUGAUAAGGGUGAGGUCCCUGGUUCAAGUCCAGGAUGGCCCAUAUCUCUAUGUUGGGGGUAUAGCUCAGUUGGUAGAGCGCCUGCUUUGCAAGCAGGAUGUCAGCGGUUCGAGUCCGCUUACCUCCACUGAUUACCACCUCUUCCAUAAAUUUACAGAAAGGAAAAUUUUUUGGGGUGUGAUCAAAUCUGAACGACUCUAGCUUCCUAAUAAACAUUAUUAAGAUGCUGGACUCAUUGAAUCAAAUUCAUUGUUUUCAGAGAACCUUGACAACUGCAUAGAUUAUUUUUAAAGACAAUAAGCAUCUUUAAUGAUGCAGAUUUAUUAUUUGUGCGAAUGCAUUAAAUAACAAUUCUAUUAAGCUGAUGCUUCAAUUUUGAAGUUAUU
RNAcentral lists this transfer RNA (542 nucleotides) under uncultured Prochlorococcus sp. RNAcentral describes it as "partial 16S-23S ribosomal RNA intergenic spacer". The stretch from base 211 to 283 matches the Rfam family "tRNA". The record is from RNAcentral. Lineage: Bacteria; Bacillati; Cyanobacteriota; Cyanophyceae; Synechococcales; Prochlorococcaceae.